Non-coding RNA from Megalopta genalis, 267 nucleotides. Lineage: Eukaryota; Metazoa; Arthropoda; Insecta; Hymenoptera; Halictidae. The record is from RefSeq and is a predicted model, not a curated record.
CUUUUCACAUACAUGCUUCUGCAAUCGAAGAUGGCUUGCCGAUAGGCAUGUUUGUAAAUAUCUCGUUUACUUUUUCUUAAAAUAUUAUUAUUAUGGUGUCAAUAAAUAUCAAGUAUCGAGUUGAAGUGCUGAGAAUUCUACUACUGAUCUACCAAUGCGUAAUGGAGUUUAACUUGUAAAUUAAUUAUAUCAGUUUUUAUGCUUAAAAACACAUCUGCGAAAAAUGGCUUAUUCCAAUGGCAAAAUAAAACUUGUUACCUGUUAAAA